GAUGAACGCUGGCGGCGUGCCUAACACAUGCAAGUCGAACGGAGAUUGUUCGCUGCGGAGUCUUCGGACAAAGCUUGAACAAUCUUAGUGGCGGACGGGUGAGUAACGCGUGGGCAACCUGCCUUGCACAGGGGGAUAGCAGUUGGAAACGACUGGUAAUACCGCAUAUCUUGGAGAAAACGCAUGUUUACUUCAAGAAAACAUUAGUGGUGCAAGAUGGGCCCGCGUCCGAUUAGAUAGUUGGUGGGGUAACGGCCUACCAAGUCGACGAUCGGUAGCCGACCUAAGAGGGCGGACGGCCACAUUGGGACUGAGACACGGCCCAGACUCCUACGGGAGGCAGCAGUGGGGAAUAUUGCACAAUGGAGGGAACUCUGAUGCAGCGACGCCGCGUGAGCGAAGAAGUAUUUCGGUAUGUAAAGCUCUAUCAGUAGGGAAGAUAAUGGCG
RNAcentral lists this ribosomal RNA (448 nucleotides) under Lachnospiraceae bacterium oral taxon 163. Its description in RNAcentral is "bacterial SSU rRNA". It matches the Rfam family "Bacterial small subunit ribosomal RNA", at positions 28 to 456 of the family's 1533-position model. Lineage: Bacteria; Bacillati; Bacillota; Clostridia; Lachnospirales; Lachnospiraceae. The record is from RNAcentral.